This is a long non-coding RNA of Gossypium raimondii (Peruvian cotton), 1401 nucleotides long. RefSeq lists it as uncharacterized. The record is from RefSeq and is a predicted model, not a curated record. The transcript is spliced from 2 exons. Lineage: Eukaryota; Viridiplantae; Streptophyta; Magnoliopsida; Malvales; Malvaceae.
ACUACUAAACCCUAAUUCCUUUACUCCCUAUUUAAACCACUCAACUCCUCUUCUCUUCCUCAGAUUUCCGCCUCCAAAGCUUUCCUUAUCAUCUGUCCCUGGUUUUCCGCUUCUCUUCUCCUUCUAUACUAAUACAUUUUUAAUUUGCUGCGCCUGUUCAAUUGAUUCUUUUGAUCAUCUCUAAAUAGCUCCUGCAAAUUUCCAUGUUAUGUUAUGCUUUUAUUUUGGUUGCAUCUGUUUACCCUCUCCUUUUGUAGCAAAAAUAGGAAAAAAUGCCAAAGGAGAUAUAACAGAUGCAAACAAUAAAAGGUUAGCUUACCAGCCCGUUGCAUUUCAUUUCUUUGCCUUGGUGUUAAAUGGACUUACCGACAUAUUUUUUCAUUUCGCUGAAAAAAAAUUGUUGAUUUUUGCUAUGUUUAUAGAUUCUACAACUAAAAGCUUUUUAAUGAUGGCAAAGGAUGAAUGUUUAUCUUAUCCUACACUCUGAUGAACCGUGUAGAUUCUAAUUUUCGCUUAUUGAUAUUCUGAUGCUUUUUUUUGUUUUAAUUUAUUUUUAAAGUGAAGGCAAAUGAUGUGAAAGUUUCUUAUCCUACACACUGAAUUAUGUAUGUAGACUAUUAAACUCCGCUUAUUAUCUGAUGCCUUUGCUUUUUUGCCCUUUUUUUGUUUACGAAGUCUUUGAAAAGUGAAGAGUUGUUUGAAAUUUUCUAUGAUGAGAAGAAGCAGACGGGCGGUCUGAAUCUGAUGCCAUGUUUGAUGAAGUUGCUUCAAUUAUGUCUGGACAUAUGAACUCAGCUUAUGAUUAGCUACGCAUCUUCUGAGCAUUACUGUAUAUUUGUCAAUAAACUGUAUAUUCAAAUGUAUGAAAUAUUGAGAGUAUACCCACCUGUAUCAAGAAAUUCAUACAAUAUUAUUAUCCACGGGUUUGAAAGGAGAACGGCAGUUUGGGCAGAUGUUUCUCCUUAGAAACCAAAGAUCAAUACAUUGUGUAUGGAAUAUGUGACUACAAACAGGCAAAAUCCUUCAUCGUUCCCCGACCUGAAAACCAUUCAGGCAGACGCCGCACAUCAUUGUCGUUGCUGAAGCUUAAUUUUCUUGAGAAUAAUAGAACCUAGGGAGUUGCUCUAUCUCUUCCAUGGACAAACCUGAUUCAUUGUCUUCUUUGCUGCUUUCUUUGUCAUUGGAGAGUAGGUAAAAUAUUACUAGAUAAAUCAUAACAAGGAUCGUAAUUCCCAGAAAGGGAGAUGGGAGAGAAGGAAGCAUUUCCAGGGAUGAAUAAGUUUUGGAGAGGAUUUAAAGCCUGAAAUUGGCAUGUAAAACGUUGAUUGGGUUUUUAUGCCUUAAGCUAAGUUUGACUUGAAAUUGAAUAAGAAUAAUCACGUUCCUUUGCCUUGAGAUUUA